UGAGCAAUCUGCCCUUCUCUUCGGAAUAAGCGUUGGAAACGACGUCUAAUGCCGAAUACGACCUCCUUUCGCAUGAUCGGAGGUGGAAAGCUCCGGCGGAGAAGGAUGAGCUCGCGGCCUAUCAGCUAGUUGGUGUGGGUAAUGGCCCACCAAGGCGACGACGGGUAGCCGGCCUGAGAGGGUGACCGGCCACACUGGGACUGAGACACGGCCCAGACUCCUACGGGAGCAG
This 232-nucleotide ribosomal RNA is filed under the name uncultured bacterium. RNAcentral's name for it is "partial 16S ribosomal RNA". It matches the Rfam family "Bacterial small subunit ribosomal RNA", at positions 118 to 347 of the family's 1533-position model. The record is from RNAcentral.